Ornithorhynchus anatinus (platypus) is the source of this 138-nucleotide small nucleolar RNA. The record is from RefSeq and is a predicted model, not a curated record. NCBI's taxonomy places the organism in Eukaryota, Metazoa, Chordata, Mammalia, Monotremata, Ornithorhynchidae.
CCCCUCACAGGGUCGUGUCUGGAGAGUUUCCGGUACUCUCCCAGUCAUGACCUUAGGAGGGAGAGUCAAGCAGAGGCCUACCCACUCCAUUCCUAGCUUGGUCAGUGGCUAGUGAGUAGAGGGCAAUCUACUACAUGU